UACGAAGGGGGCUAGCGUUGCUCGGAAUUACUGGGCGUAAAGCGCACGCAGGCGGAUUUAUAAGUCAGGGGUGAAAUCCCGGGGCUCAACCUCGGAAUUGCCUUUGAUACUGUCUAUCUUGAGUCCGGGAGAGGUGAGUGGAAUUCCUAGUGUAGAGGUGAAAUUCGUAGAUAUUAGGAAGAACACCAGUGGCGAAGGCGGCUCACUGGCCCGGUACUGACGCUCAUGUGCGAAAGCGUGGGGAGUAAACAGG
RNAcentral lists this ribosomal RNA (253 nucleotides) under uncultured bacterium. RNAcentral's name for it is "partial 16S ribosomal RNA". It matches the Rfam family "Bacterial small subunit ribosomal RNA", at positions 524 to 776 of the family's 1533-position model. The record is from RNAcentral.